CCUCACUUGUGAGGAACUGACGGUACCGUUAGAAUAAGCACCGGCUAACUCCGUGCCAGCAGCCGCGGUAAUACGGAGGGUGCAAGCGUUAUCCGGAAUCAUUGGGUUUAAAGGGUGCGUAGGCGGUUGURUAAGUCAGUGGUGAAAGGCCGYAGCUUAACUGUGGRAUUGCCAUUGAUACUGUAUGACUUGAAUGAGGUUGAGGUWGGCGGAAUGUGUCAUGUAGCGGUGAAAUGCUUAGAUAUGACCAUGGAACAYCGAUUGCGAAGGCAGCUKACUGGACCUGAAUUGACGCUGAGGCACGAAAGCGUGGGGAUCGAACAGGAUUAGAUACCCUGGUAGUCCACGCCSUAAACGAUGAUCACUCGUUGUUUG
RNAcentral lists this ribosomal RNA (375 nucleotides) under uncultured Sphingobacteriia bacterium. RNAcentral describes it as "bacterial SSU rRNA". It matches the Rfam family "Bacterial small subunit ribosomal RNA", at positions 454 to 826 of the family's 1533-position model. The record is from RNAcentral. Lineage: Bacteria; Pseudomonadati; Bacteroidota; Sphingobacteriia.